UUGGCUAAAGCCAAAGAGAGGCGUAUCAUUGUUACUGAUUUAAAUGGAAAACCUAGUCGUU
Molecule: transfer RNA, 61 nt
Filed under: Eulimnogammarus vittatus
Lineage: Eukaryota; Metazoa; Arthropoda; Malacostraca; Amphipoda; Eulimnogammaridae
Description: tRNA-Asn
Source: RNAcentral